AGUCUUGAUCUGGCUGUGAGAGGGAGAGCAGUGUGUCCGCUGCCCGGGGGAUAAGUGUUUUUGUUUAUGUUGAUCAAAGCGGUUUUCUCGUAAUAUUUCGACGACGUCUGCUUGUCUUCAACCCUGCCCUGCUGCCACCAGGAAUGUCAGAGAGCUGGCCAUGUUUGACUAAAAGGACAGCUGAGCGACUCAAGUGAGAAAGGGAAAUAAAAGAAAAAGAAAAAUUAAAUAGUAAAAGGAAAAAGAAAAGUGGGAAUAAAGAAAAAGAAAAAAAUUGUGACGUUUGUGAAGCGAAAUUUGAUGGUGAAUGAAGUGACCAGAGGGCAGUGAAUCGACGGAGAGAGAAAGGGAAAGAAGAGAGAAUAAGAAAGAGUGAAAGAAAGGCGAUAGAUAGAGCGUGAGAGAAUCGAUACAGAAAGUGGCGAACAUUUUGGCAAAAGGUUUUUCGCGAGGUGAGGUUCGAGCACCAUUGCUGACACGUGCAACUGGAGGAAAGGAAAAGAAAUAAAAGCAAAAUAACAAACAAUAAAAAAAUCCUCCGAAUGCAACCAGAAGCUAACAUCUAAAAGUAGAGAAAGAGAGACAGAUAAAAAAAGAAAAAGAAGAAAGAGAAAAGAGAAAGACACCCAAGACCAGAAGAGAUAGAAAAAACAACAAAAAGGCAAAAGUAAAAAAAAGAAAGCAAACACAAACAAACAAACAGAAAAAAAACGUUUUGAUCUUCGAGAGAUCAGUCAGUGCUUAAUCCUUUGUGAUUCUUAGGCUCAACGUUUUUGACCUCUGUGGGGUUGGUUGUCUCAAUGCGUCUCAACGUUCUUGUUGAAUAGGCGUUCGUCCUCCUGUGGUUGGCGACGACUUAGGCUUCGUAGAAAGAAAUCUCAUUGUUGUGUUUUAUUUUUCUUUCAAUUCUUUGCUAUUUUCGCUCUCAAUCGGCUUGUGUCAAGGUUGUGUUUGUUCAGAUAUAUAUACACAUAUAUUCUAUGAAGGCAUUUUUUUGGGACAUAAGGAAAAUAUUUUAAAAAAGGAGAUUUUAAGAUAUUGCUAAAUGUAUGUGUUGUCCUUUAAAAAAUAUAAUUGUCAUUAAGUGGGAUUUUUAUUCUCGCCUGUGAUAUUGCCACCAAAUCAUCGUUGGUUCCAUUGCUGUUUGUAAAACUGGUGUUCGUCGUUGUGGACUAUUAAAAAAAAAGUUGAAAAAAGCCAGUGUUAUUCCUAUAGGCUUCUAGAGCUCCACUGAAUACAACUUGAUCCGUUUUUUUAUACAUAUAUAUACGUGUAUAGAAGGGACAAUACAUGUAUGAUACAAUGCAUUUACGAUUUCAAUGACUGUGUUGACAUUCUGAUCGUGUUUACAUAGAGCGUUUGAAAUCCACCCUCCCCCCACCCCCUUGACAUCACCCCCCCCUUAGAAUCUUACAGUCCUCUCUUCCGAACCGAAAAAAACAAAUAGAAA
Penaeus vannamei (Pacific white shrimp) is the source of this 1450-nucleotide non-coding RNA. Lineage: Eukaryota; Metazoa; Arthropoda; Malacostraca; Decapoda; Penaeidae. The record is from RefSeq and is a predicted model, not a curated record.